This 761-nucleotide ribosomal RNA is filed under the name Halomonas sp. RNAcentral's name for it is "bacterial SSU rRNA". It matches the Rfam family "Bacterial small subunit ribosomal RNA", at positions 72 to 833 of the family's 1533-position model. Lineage: Bacteria; Pseudomonadati; Pseudomonadota; Gammaproteobacteria; Oceanospirillales; Halomonadaceae. The record is from RNAcentral.
GAUCCAGCUUGCUGGAUGCUGACGAGCGGCGGACGGGUGAGUAAUGCAUAGGAAUCUGCCCGGUAGUGGGGGAUAACCUGGGGAAACCCAGGCUAAUACCGCAUACGUCCUACGGGAGAAAGGGGGCUCCGGCUCCCGCUAUGGGAUGAGCCUAUGUCGGAUUAGCUAGUUGGUGAGGUAACGGCUCACCAAGGCCACGAUCCGUAGCUGGUCUGAGAGGAUGAUCAGCCACAUCGGGACUGAGACACGGCCCGAACUCCUACGGGAGGCAGCAGUGGGGAAUAUUGGACAAUGGGGGCAACCCUGAUCCAGCCAUGCCGCGUGUGUGAAGAAGGCCCUCGGGUUGUAAAGCACUUUCAGCGAGGAAGAACGCCUAGCGGUUAAUACCCGCUAGGAAAGACAUCACUCGCAGAAGAAGCACCGGCUAACUCCGUGCCAGCAGCCGCGGUAAUACGGAGGGUGCAAGCGUUAAUCGGAAUUACUGGGCGUAAAGCGCGCGUAGGUGGCUUGAUAAGCCGGUUGUGAAAGCCCCGGGCUCAACCUGGGAACGGCAUCCGGAACUGUCAAGCUAGAGUGCAGGAGAGGAAGGUAGAAUUCCCGGUGUAGCGGUGAAAUGCGUAGAGAUCGGGAGGAAUACCAGUGGCGAAGGCGGCCUUCUGGACUGACACUGACACUGAGGUGCGAAAGCGUGGGUAGCAAACAGGAUUAGAUACCCUGGUAGUCCACGCCGUAAACGAUGUCGACCAGCCGUUGGGUGCCUA